GUGGGGAAUCUUGCGCAAUGGGCGAAAGCCUGACGCAGCCAUGCCGCGUGAAUGAUGAAGGUCUUAGGAUUGUAAAAUUCUUUCACCGGGGACGAUAAUGACGGUACCCGGAGAAGAAGCCCCGGCUAACUUCGUGCCAGCAGCCGCGGUAAUACGAAGGGGGCUAGCGUUGCUCGGAAUUACUGGGCGUAAAGGGCGCGUAGGCGGACAGUUUAGUCAGAGGUGAAAGCCCAGGGCUCAACCUUGGAAUUGCCUUUGAUACUGGCUGUCUUGAGUACGGGAGAGGUGAGUGGAACUCCGAGUGUAGAGGUGAAAUGCGUAGAUAUUCGGAAGAACACCAGUGGCGAAGGCGACUCACUGGCCCGUUACUGACGCUGAGGCGCGAAAGCGUGGGGAGCAAACAGGAUUAGAUACCCUGGUAGUCC
This 425-nucleotide ribosomal RNA is filed under the name uncultured bacterium. RNAcentral's name for it is "partial 16S ribosomal RNA". It matches the Rfam family "Bacterial small subunit ribosomal RNA", at positions 354 to 796 of the family's 1533-position model. The record is from RNAcentral.